CUGCUGGCAAUUAUGGUGACGUGUACUAGCGUGCGCAGGCCCUGCACAGUGCAGAGACGCAACGCAGACGAUGCCCAGGCUGCCCUGAAGAGGACGCUGCUGCUCUGUCUGAUGAUAUUCUCUUCAAAAUAAGCAUUCUGUUUGUUAACAUAAUCUCUCUAGUCUGAGUGGACAGCGGUAACUCCGAGGUUCAGCAUCACCAGACAGCUGAGGUCUCAGAUAAUCCAACUCUGUGGAGAAUCCCUGGACAUAAAUCCAGUAAAGCUUAACCAGAAGUAAGACGUCUAGAGGCCUGGAAGCAUAGAAUUAUCCACAUUAGGAUGGAUGGAAGGAGCGAGGACACUUAUCACAGCAUAUCAAGCUACCCUGGAUCGUCAUUCUGAUUGUGCUGCCAAGACAGAGAAGAGAGGAAGGUGAGAAUGAAUUGGUUAACAAUCAAGCAACAACUGCCUGUUUGUUUGUUAACGAAUAUUGUACAGAUUUGUUUCCCACACCCUCGGGUGUAAA
Oncorhynchus kisutch (coho salmon) is the source of this 507-nucleotide long non-coding RNA. RefSeq lists it as uncharacterized. The transcript is spliced from 3 exons. The record is from RefSeq and is a predicted model, not a curated record. Lineage: Eukaryota; Metazoa; Chordata; Actinopteri; Salmoniformes; Salmonidae.